RNAcentral lists this transfer RNA (91 nucleotides) under Enterocloster bolteae. RNAcentral's name for it is "tRNA-OTHER". RNAcentral also lists the same sequence under 2 other names. Lineage: Bacteria; Bacillati; Bacillota; Clostridia; Lachnospirales; Lachnospiraceae. The record is from RNAcentral.
GGCGGUGUGUGGUACACAGGGCGGGGUUCAACUCCCCGGACAGACCAUGGUGGAAAGUAAGAGGGUGCCGGUUCGACUCCGGCCGCCGCCA